This is a long non-coding RNA of Colias croceus (clouded yellow), 378 nucleotides long. RefSeq lists it as uncharacterized. The transcript is spliced from 3 exons. NCBI's taxonomy places the organism in Eukaryota, Metazoa, Arthropoda, Insecta, Lepidoptera, Pieridae. The record is from RefSeq and is a predicted model, not a curated record.
GUCUCUUUUAUUUCAUUUUCAUACUUAUAUAUUGUGAUAAUUAACAGUGAGGACACGCACGACGAGCGACUUCGUAGCCGACUUAAUGAUAGCUUUGCAUGUGAUUAAAGAACGAAAAAGCAACAGAAUUGUCCUCUGAUGGCUACAUGAAAUGCAGAUAUCACGUACCCUCUAUAGCCUCCUAGGCUAUAAAAGGGAUGAAAAAUAUCUGAAGAGGAUGGGAGAGGAUGGAAGAUAGUUCAGAAAUGAGGAUGAUACAGAAACAAGGAGUGUAGAAAAGGAGUAGAGAUGAAUGCUAAGAGACAUUUUCUACACUAAUAUUAUAAAGAGGAAAUCUUUGUUUGUUUGUUUGAUUGUAAUGAAUAGGCUCAUAAACUA